RNAcentral lists this long non-coding RNA (282 nucleotides) under Olea europaea subsp. europaea. The record is from RNAcentral. Lineage: Eukaryota; Viridiplantae; Streptophyta; Magnoliopsida; Lamiales; Oleaceae.
AAUCUAUAGAGAUGUCAUCAUCACUGGAAACUAACAUGCAACUCCCCAACGGCAACUCCACUACCGAUGGCGCCUCUUCAGCUGCAGGAUUCGGCGCUGCCGCCACCACAAUUCCAUCAUCAAAGAUUGGCCAACUGGCUGAGUCUUCGAAACUGGAACAUCAAUUCCUCGGGGUUCCCUUCCAGCACUACAAGAAAACGAUCCACGCCAACCAUCGUGUCUUCGAAAAAGAGGUAAUUGCCGUCAUCUCCGGUGUAGCUGAGGCAGAGCCGGUCCUGUGGC